UACGUAGGUGGCAAGCGAUACUCGGAAUCACUAGGCGUAAAGCGCAGGUAGGCGGUUUGAUAAGUCUGUUGUGAAAGCUCCCGGCUUAACUGGGAGAGGUCAACGGAAACUAUCAGGCUAGAGUGUGGUAGAGGUAGCUGGAAUUCCCGGUGUAGCGGUGAAAUGCGUAGAUAUCGGGAGGAAUACCUAUGGCGAAAGCAGGCUACUGGACCAUCACUGACGCUGAUCUGCGAAAGCUAGGGGAGAAAACAGG
Molecule: ribosomal RNA, 253 nt
Filed under: uncultured bacterium
Lineage: Bacteria
Description: partial 16S ribosomal RNA
Rfam family: Bacterial small subunit ribosomal RNA
Source: RNAcentral